GACGUAGGGUCCGAGCGUUGUCCGGAGUUACUGGGCGUAAAGGACGCGUAGGCGGUUCCACGCGUCACACGUGAAAGCCCCUGGCUUAACCAGGGAGGGUCGUGUGAAACGGUGGAACUGGAGGCAGAGAGAGGCUGGUGGAAUUCCCGGAGUAGUGGUGAAAUGCGUAGAUAUCGGGAGGAACACCGGUGGCGAAGGCGGCCAGCUGGCUCUGACCUGACGCUGAGGCGCGAAGGCGUGGGGAGCGAACGGG
RNAcentral lists this ribosomal RNA (253 nucleotides) under uncultured bacterium. RNAcentral's name for it is "partial 16S ribosomal RNA". It matches the Rfam family "Bacterial small subunit ribosomal RNA", at positions 524 to 776 of the family's 1533-position model. The record is from RNAcentral.